UACGUAGGCAGCAAGCGUUGUUCGGAAUUACUGGGCGUAAAGAGCGUGUAGGCGGUUUGGUAGGUCCGCUGUGAAAACUCGAGGCUCAACCUCGAGACGCCGGUGGAAACCAUCAGACUAGAGUCCGGAAGAGGAGAGUGGAAUUCCUGGUGUAGCGGUGAAAUGCGCAGAUAUCAGGAGGAACACCGGUGGCGAAGGCGGGUCUCUGGGCCGAUAUUGACGCUGAGGAGCGAAAGCGUGGGGAGCGAACAGG
RNAcentral lists this ribosomal RNA (253 nucleotides) under uncultured bacterium. Its description in RNAcentral is "partial 16S ribosomal RNA". It matches the Rfam family "Bacterial small subunit ribosomal RNA", at positions 524 to 776 of the family's 1533-position model. The record is from RNAcentral.